RNAcentral lists this long non-coding RNA (1395 nucleotides) under Homo sapiens (human). RNAcentral's name for it is "HSALNT0228643". The record is from RNAcentral. Lineage: Eukaryota; Metazoa; Chordata; Mammalia; Primates; Hominidae.
UUCCUGCUGCCACGAGAAGAAGGAUGUGUUUGCUUCCCCUUUUGCCACGACCGACCGACCAUAAGUUUCCUGAGGCCACCCCAGACCUGCAGAAUUGGAUACUGGUUGUAGGAGAGCUGCCCAGUGUUUCUUCUCCUCCCACACACCCAGUUUUAAUGGAGUACUUAGAACCCUAUAUGGCUUGGGACCUAUCUGAUUCAUUGAGGUUGACAUCAUGGAGGACACUAUACUCUCUCACAAAGAUGUGUACCUUCUUGAAGGGCUCACUAAAAAAACCAGAGUCUUCCACCUCCAGGCUCACUGCAAUUGAUGCAUAGAUAAAACAAAUGUCGGAUAGCCAUCCAAUGGAUUAGUAUGCCGCCAUAAAAAGGAAGCACUCACUACUGAUACAAGCUUCAGUGUGGAUGAAGACUGACAAUAUUGUUCAUUGAAAGACACCAGACACAAAAGAUCAUAUAUUGCAUGAUUCCAUUUCUAUAAAAUGUCCAGAAUAUGCAAAUCCAUAGAGACAGAAAAUCACUUAGUGGUUGGGAGGAAAUGGGGGAAGGUGAGAAUGCGGAGUGACUGCUAAUGGGUUUCUUUUUGGGGUAAUGAUAAUACUCUUGAAUUAGACAGUGGUAAGGAUUAAACAAACUUGUGAAUAUAUUAAAAACUUGCAUUGUGUACUUUCAAAGGGUGAAUUUUAUGGAAUGUGGAUAUCUCACUUUUUUUUAAAAUGAAAGAAUGAAAAAAGGUGGCUUCUGUCUCAUCUGGACUCCUACAAUUUUUUUUUUUUUGAGACGGAGUUUCGCAAAUUUAAUUAUUGAUAAAUAUACCUGAGAGAUCACUGCUUGCCAGCCCUGUACUGGCACUGAGUUACAUAAAGGAAUAAGACCGUCCGGGCGUGGUGGCUUACACCUGUAAUCCCAGAACUUUGGGGUGCCGAUGUGGGUGGAUUGCUUGAGCUUAGGAGUUUGAGACCAGUCUGGACAACAUGGUGAAACUCCGUCUCUAUCAAAAAAUACAAAAAAUUAGCUGGGUGUGGUGGUGUGGGUCUGUGGUCCCAACUACUCAGCUAACUUGGGAGACUGAGGUGGGAGGAUUGCUUCAGCUUGGGAGGAGGAGGUUGCAGUGAAUCGAGAUUAUGCCACUGCACUCCAGCCUGGGUGACAGGGUGAGAUUCGUCUCAAAAAAAAAAAAAAAAAAGGAAUAAAACCCAAGCCCGCACACACUUCAUAGGCUAAAGGGAGACAAAUAAGUAAAUGUUCUAUUAUAACCAAGGGUGAGCUGGGUGCGAUGGCCCAUGUCUCUAAUCCCAGCACUUUGGGAGGCUGAGGCUGGCAGAUCACCUGAGAUCGAGAGUUCGAGACCAGCCUGACCAACAUGGAGAAACCCCAUCUUGACUAAAGAUGCAAA